This 392-nucleotide ribosomal RNA is filed under the name uncultured bacterium. RNAcentral's name for it is "partial 16S ribosomal RNA". It matches the Rfam family "Bacterial small subunit ribosomal RNA", at positions 523 to 918 of the family's 1533-position model. The record is from RNAcentral.
AUACGGAGGAUCCGAGCGUUAUCCGGAUUUAUUGGGUUUAAAGGGUGCGCAGGCGGCCAUUUAAGUCAGCGGUUAAAUCGUGGGGCUCAACCCCAUUCUGCCGUUGAUACUGGGUGGCUUGAUUGCGGUCGAGGUUGGCGGAAUUCGUUGUGUAGCGGUGAAAUGCAUAGAUAUGACGAAGAACACCGAUUGCGUAGGCAGCUGACCAGACCGCAAAUGACGCUCAUGCACGAAAGUGCGGGGAUCGAACAGGAUUAGAUACCCUUGUAGUCCGCACAGUAAACGAUGAAUACUUGUUUUCGGCGAUAUAAUGUCGGAGGCAAAGCGACAGCGAUAAGUAUUCCACCUGGGGAGUACGCCGGCAACGGUGAAACUCAAAUGAAUUGACGGGG